CAGUCGCCGCGGGAAUACGUAGGCAGCAAGCGUUGUUCGGAGUUACUGGGCGUAAAGGGUGUGUAGGCGGUUGCCUAAGUUUGGUGUGAAAUCUCCCGGCUUAACCGGGAGGGUGCGCCGAAAACUGGGUGACUAGAGUAUGGGAUGGGUAAGUGGAAUUCCUGGUGUAGCGGUGAAAUGCGUAGAUAUCAGGAGGAACACCGGUGGUGUAGACGGCUUACUGGACCAUAACUGACGCUGAGGAGCGAAAGCGUGGGGAGCGAACAGGAUUAGAUACCCCUGUAGUCCCUGUCUCUUAUAC
This 301-nucleotide ribosomal RNA is filed under the name uncultured bacterium. RNAcentral describes it as "partial 16S ribosomal RNA". It matches the Rfam family "Bacterial small subunit ribosomal RNA", at positions 509 to 807 of the family's 1533-position model. The record is from RNAcentral.